RNAcentral lists this ribosomal RNA (459 nucleotides) under uncultured bacterium. Its description in RNAcentral is "partial 16S ribosomal RNA". It matches the Rfam family "Bacterial small subunit ribosomal RNA", at positions 338 to 795 of the family's 1533-position model. The record is from RNAcentral.
CCUACGGGAGGCAGCAGUGAGGAAUAUUGGUCAAUGGGCGGAAGCCUGAACCAGCCAUGUCGCGUGAAGGAAGACGGUACUUAGUGUUGUAAACUUCUUUUGUCCGGGAACAAAGGCGGAGACGCGUCUCCGGAUGAGUGUAUCCGACGAAUAAGCAUCGGCUAACUCCGUGCCAGCAGCCGCGGUAAUACGGAGGAUGCGAGCGUUAUCCGGAUUUAUUGGGUUUAAAGGGUGCGUAGGCGGGAGAUAAAGUCAGAGGUAAAAUGUCGGGGCUCAACCCCGGACGGCCGUUGAUACUGGUUGUCUAGAGUUGGAGAGAAGUAUGCGGAAUGCGUGGUGUAGCGGUGAAAUGCAUAGAUAUCACAAAGAACUCCGAUUGCGAAGGCAGCAUACCGGCUCCCUACUGACGCUGAGGCACGAAAGCGUGGGGAUCGAACAGGAUUAGAUACCCUAGUAGUC